AGUGUUCCCUCUGCUUUUCUCCCCUCCUAAACCAGGACAUUGUUAUCCAGCCAGAAGAUAAUAUCCGACUGAAGAUUGUGGGGACCCGGGUGGACAAGAAUGAUAUAUUUGCCAUUGGAUCCCUGAUGGACGACUACCUGGGUCUCCUGAACUGAAAGGCCCGUUUCUGUUCUUCUGUUCAGCUCCAUGGCCGUUCCUCCCUAAGGAAAGGUUGGCUGGCUGUGUUUUAUUGGAAAGGGUAACCAUUUGCAGCAAUCCUAAUGAGUGAGGAGCGUUUUUGGAGGUCCUUUGGAGUCUCCCUGUUGUUUCUUGCUGGAAUGGAAUGUCCCUGUAAGGUCCUUUUUUGGUCAUUAAACGUUUUCCUGUUCUCUU
Non-coding RNA from Pseudonaja textilis, 372 nucleotides. The record is from RefSeq and is a predicted model, not a curated record. Lineage: Eukaryota; Metazoa; Chordata; Lepidosauria; Squamata; Elapidae.